AGUGAACGCUGGCGGCAGGCCUAAUACAUGCAAGUCGAACGGCAGCACAGCAGAGCUUGCUCUGUGGGUGGCGAGUGGCGGACGGGUGAGGAAUACAUGGGAAUCUGCCCAGUCGUGGGGGAUAACGUAUGGAAACGUACGCUAAUACCGCAUGCGCCCUAAGGGGGAAAGCCGGGGACCGCAAGGCCUGGCGCGAUUGGAUGAGCCCAUGUUCGAUUAGCUAGUUGGCGGGGUAAAGGCCCACCAAGGCGACGAUCGAUAGCUGGUCUGAGAGGAUGAUCAGCCACACUGGAACUGAGACACGGUCCAGACUCCUACGGGAGGCAGCAGUAGGGAAUUUUGGACAAUGGGCGCAAGCCUGAUCCAGCAAUGCCGCGUGCAGGAAGAAGGCC
RNAcentral lists this ribosomal RNA (392 nucleotides) under uncultured bacterium. RNAcentral's name for it is "bacterial SSU rRNA". It matches the Rfam family "Bacterial small subunit ribosomal RNA", at positions 30 to 416 of the family's 1533-position model. The record is from RNAcentral.